GCAGCAUUUAACUUGAGAAAUUCAAUCUUUCCAAAGAAUUAUUGAAUUGGACUAUCACAUUUUAAUUAAAACCAAGGUUAGGCAGCUGAUCAGUUCCGCACUAACCCCGAGCAGGCCCCGCCAUGCUCUAUCACUGGAUCCAAGGCACUCAUUGGCCUAACAUGACCACGAAUCUGGUCCACAGGUUUAUAUAAAAACAAUAAUCCAAUUCUAUAAUUCAAUAACAGGUCAACGUAUAACAACAGAACAUAAACACAAUCAAUAUCAAUGAUAGAAUAAUUCCAAAUCAAACUUUGAUAAUCAACUUUUCAUAAACCAGAGUCCAUCCUUUCAUAAAUCAUAGUUCAGGAAAUCCUUAACUAUUCAGUAUCCUCCAUUAUCGGCUAAGCAACUGAAUUUAGCCUGCUAAACCAGCAUGACAAUGGCGGGUUGAAUAAUCAAGAAGAUCCCAAGUCAUUCUAGGUUCUAAUCAUCACUGAGCAACACAUGCUUCAAUGACAAUCUGAACUUCGAAUUAAUUUGUAAAACUGGAAUUAUCUGAAUUUUUGAGGAUUAGAAAAGGAUGGAUAAAAAUAUUUGCACUUGCCAAAUAUGAAAAAGAGAGGAACGAAUAUUUGCAACACAUACGAAAAGAAUGAAUCAGAAUAAUCGCAAGAUAUCCAAAAGAAGGGUAUAGGAUACUUGCCUUAAAUCUGACUCCAGUUUCAUAGCUCAACCUCAUCUUUCCACUUUCACAAUCUAUCCAUCUCAUAAUCUCUAGACCAUCUCUAGCUAUACUCUAUUCGCCACAUCGCUUCGCUUACUCGAUUCAUCCCUUAUUCGCUUUUCAAUACCAUUCCGACUUUCUGACGUCUUCGAGCGUAUACGUCUCCUCCAAAUCCUUUACGAGAAUAAGAUAAUACUAUAGUCACUAAAUAAUAUAUCGCAUAUACAUAUCACGUAUACCGAUACCCACUUAUACAACCCUUUAAACUCAUCAAAUAUCACUUAACACAUAAUCAUGCUUUGACUCUACCAUAUAGUCCAAUCAUAUUCCACAUAACAUAUUAUCAAUUAAAUAUCAUAUAAAUCUUAUCGAAAAUCCGACAUCGUCUCGUCUAUUUAUAAGACUAUCCACCUGUUAUCCUAUUUUGUCCAACAACCAAUCAACCAAUUCCAAUUCCUAUAAUCCAUAUGUCCUUAUCCAAUAUUAAUCAAAUCAUGACACUAUGUCAUAUAAGUCAUUUAUCACGUAUAUAAUAUCAGGAAUAGACAUAUAUAUCACGUAAUCAUCAAUUAAUAACAAUCCAAUAACAUAUAAUCACAUUCAGCACAUUUAACAACAAUUAUUCACAUUCUCGACUCCAUCAUAUUAUUAUGUCAUAUCAAACUAGACUUUAUAAGCUUUCAUCUCUCUUUCGUUUCACUUGAUUCCGACUUACGGAUCAAAAGUUAUGACCAAAACCGUUUUCUGACUCCGCUCUCAACAUAUAAUACCUUACACCGAUAGCAGUCAACACAUUACACAUUAAGUCUCCCAUCCCAAUUGAUGUCAAGUCAAGUCUGGGGUUAAAAAAGAUUUUUCGGGAAUUUUCCAGAAUUUUUAAACAUUUUUCGGAAUUAAAACGGAUAAAAGAAUCACUUUUUGAAUAAAUAAUCAAGUCCGGAUAUUCGAAAUUGGACUUGAAAUCAUUCAUAAACAAUUGUCGAGCCUUGAAAAUAAUUUGGAAAAAUAUUUUAAAGCUCGAAACUAUUUUUCGGAAUUUUUAAAUCAAAAAGGAUUAAUUAAAUCCAAUUAAUUAAUCAAUUAAAAUCAAUUAAUAAUUAAUUAAAAUAAUUAAUCAAUUAAUAUUUAAAUUAAUUGACCAAUUAAAAUAAUUAAUUACUAAUUAAAAUUAAUUAAUAAAUCAAAUUAGAUUUAUUUUUGAAUAAAGAAAUAAUUAAAAACUAUUUUUGAAAUUUAAAAUAAUUAAAUAAAACAAUUUUUGAAAAUUAAAAUUAAAAAGGUUUAAAGUGUCAAUGUUUAAAACUUUGUCGCAAGGUUUAAACUGCAACUUUUCAAAGUUACAGGGUUUGAAUCGUUAAAACCGAAACUAUAGUACCCAACCUUCACCAUCUUCAAAAGAUGGGUGGCCAAACGGAAAUUUUCCGCCGGCCACCACCCAACUCGCCGGAAACGACCAUACGAGCCACCACCUUCAUCCAAACUCUCCAGAAUUAAAGUAUAUACAUCCAUAAACUCGUACAAACAAUCACUUUCACCAAACCACACUUGUUUUAGCCGGAUUUUGUCCGGAAAGAGGGGCCGUCGUCGAGUUCUUCAAGAACUCCGGCGAACCCGACCCACGAAUCCCACAUACAAUUUGAACACUGAAAUCGAUUCCUUGCAACCCCUAGAACAUGCCAAUACCCUUCAAUUUUACCCAGACUUCCCCGAUUAAAAAGCCCCAAAAUCGAAUUGAAACAUUCAAGAACACUCAAGAACACCCCUCAAGAAUCAAACCCACUUUUCUAGGUGUUAUGGAACUCAAAAAUCAACAUAUAAUAUACCAAAACGACGAGAAAAACACGUUCUACAACAUGGAAUCAUCCAAACAAUCAAACAAACACGUUUACAAAAAUUCAUCAUUUAAAUCAUAUAAAUUCGAAUUUUGAAAAAUAAAUAUAAAAUCACCUGACAAAUCUGCACAUAAACGGAUGAUUGUACUAGAUUCUACGCGUCGAUAGCUUCGUUUUGACUAUUCAUACGCCUCCAUCGGAUUCAAAUAACACCUUCAAAACCUUGUUUGAUUACGAAGAACACGAAGAACGCAGCUCGGUUUCUCUCGGUAUUUGUGAACAGAAACUGGUGAAAAUGAUUUACGGUUGAAAAUAAGCUCUAGAAAGGUCUAUUUAUAUUUACAAAUAAUUGGUACCCCUUUGGAUCGUUUAUGACAUGAAAAUACGUAUUUAAUAGCUUUAUAUUAAUAAAGCAGGGUCCAAUCGGUACUGGUUUUCGAGAUAAUCAUCAAAACAGGACUUUUUAAUCAGUCAUUAGUAUGCGGGUCCCAUCGCAAUUAUUACAAGAUAAGAAUUAAUAUAAUAAUCAAAAUAUCUAGUUUCACGCUUAUCGAGACAAACUGGAUAAUUAUCAACAAUUAAAAUACCCGAAAAACUCCGCCGGACCGACUCCGGGGAAAACCGUACUCCGGAUCGAAAAAGUCAAAACACGAAAAAUGUCCGGAAUAUUCAAAUUAGGCUAAAGGUGAGUUUUGUUGAAACUUCCGGGAAGAAAAUUUGCUACCUCGUUACGAGUGGACGGUUUUACGGAAGUCAAAUAAUUAAUAAAUAAAUAUAAAUAUACGCAAUUAAAUCCGUAAAUCGAUUAUAAAAUCAUCUAACAUUCCAUAAAUCGAUAUGAAAAUAUCCAAAUAAACUAUAUUUUCUCCUGAGCAUAUAGAAAUUGAAAUCUCUCAAAUACGAACACAUAUGAGCAGUCAACUCAAUAAACCAGAUAAUACAAAAUUCACAAAAAUUCAUAUAUUAAUCAUAUAAUAUUAAUAAUUAAUCAUAACUAAUUAACAAACAAAUUCACCAAUACCACUUAAUCACAUAACACAUAUAUUCACAUAAUAUUCAUACAGAAUUUUCAAAACAAUAUAUGAAAAUCAGUUUUGAAAAUACAAUUAUUUAUCAAUAACACAAUAACCCGGGGUUUAAAUAUAAAACCUUGAAAACUCAUUAAACUGGAAUAAAAUAUUAAAUCUUAUUCCCUUCUUUGAAGAAAAUCACUUUUAAUACUAAUAAAAAUAUUUUUAAAAAUCCGGGUCAUUACAAUCUACCCUCCUUAUAGGGAUUCCGUCCUCGGAAUCAGAGAAAGAAGGAGGACGCAUAAUUAGUAUAAUCCAUAUUAAUCCACAGAACAAGUAUAAUCAUAUAAAACUAUUCACAUAAUCAAUUCACUUUUCAACUAAAGCCAACAAUAAUAUUUAGACAAAUAGAUUUAUAAUAAUCAAAUCUAAAUUUAAUAAUAUGGGAUAUUACAUUCUACCCCCCUUAUAAGGAUUCUGUCCUCAGAAUCCGCGAUGAGAACUAAAACGUAUCAUUUAUAAGAUCAUUGUACACGCUUCAUAAUAUCACAUGCUCAUCCGCCUUUGAUCAACUUUGGCAUACCUUCAAAGUUAAAGAAAUAGGAGAAUCAAAACCUUCACAAUUGCAAACUUCAUUUCCCAAGAAUCAAUCUUUGGGAAUUUCGGAGGAACAAGAUAUUUUCAAAAUAGGUCACAUUGGAAUACAAGAGUGACUGGGAGAUCAAUAAGAUCAAUUGAACUUAAUGUUGCGUGUCCAUAUUAGACACUACUAAAGGUUGUUAACCUUCUUGUAAUCACAACACACACAAGUGAUGGCGUCCCAUCCAACUCCUAUCACACAGACAGGUAUACCUUGUGUCCCCUAUACAUAGGGUUGUUCAUCCCAAUCAGAUGGAAAGAAUCCAAGAAAUCUCAAUGAGCAUCAAGGAAUGUUAAGGAUUAUCGAGGAAUAUAUUAAGGAAUAUCGAAAAGAUAUCAAAGAAUAUCAAAGAGUGUCAAAGAAUAUCAACGAAUAUUAAGGGAUAUCAAAGAAUAUGGAAGAAUAUCAAGGGAUAUCAAAGAAUAUCAAAUAAUAUCAAGGAAUUCCACUGUCUCUUCAUAAACACGCCUUUAUCAUACACCGAUUCAAUACUAACUCACACCAAUAAUCAAUAUCAUUGUCAUCAUAGAAUUCGAGAAAUUGAAGAUCUUCUUUAUCAGAACUUUUUAUAGAAUAGGUAUCAUAAUAAUAACUCGCUGAUGAGGAAAACAAUCAAAAGAAUCUUUAGUUGAAGAGAGGUAUUGCCAAGGUCUUCUCAGAUUUUCGCUCUGCUUCAAUAAAUCGUUGUUCGUCGUAUGUCUUCUUCUCCACGUUCUCGAUAAUCAAUCGAUGUUGACUCGUAAUAACCUUGUAAAAUUUCAUCGUCGACAUUAUCGUUCGUAAUAACUCUCGCCCAUGUAGUCUUCGUUUUUUUUUUUUUUCUAUUUCAUUCCAUCUGCCUUUGAAGUCCAUAGCACAGCACGUAGCAUAUCUUCGAUUAUCUGGAUCAUCAACCUGUGGGUUAUGGGCCCACCUUGAUGCCAAUUGAAAUCCCGAUUAGCUCGAAGCGUUGUCGUCGAGGACUAACGUUCUAACUUACUCGUAGACAUCAUCUCUAAUAACUGGACUCCAUUCCACGUACUCUCUAUCAUUCACUUCUCACCUAUCAACCUCUAUCUACCAAUCUCUCCUUCUAAUCCAAUACAACUCAUACUCUACACUUACUCUUCAUAUCUUCACUCAAAACAAUAUACAUCUUCCAAAUAUCUGACAUGGUCAACAUACUAUGAACCAUGCAUUUAUAUCAUCCUCAAAUCAAUACAAUAAUCCAAUUUCAAAUAUGCAGUAUAGUCAGAAUACUCUGAACUCUGCAUUUUCACCAUUCUCAACUCAAUCAUUCACUAUCAAACUCUUCUAUAUAGGUCUAAUACUGACCUUUUCCACAAUUCACCAUCUCAAUUAGUCAACAUACUAGAAAUCAUAUGUCUAAACUUAAGAAUCCUAAUCUCUUCAAAUAUCCACACUUAACUUGAUCAUCUAACUAAACUCUAUGCUUCACUCACAUCUCUAGACUAUUCCUAAAUAGUCCGACCAUACCUCUAUGUGAGGUUACACCACAUUCUUCUCUAGAAAACCUAUAACUAUGAUCUAUAUUCUAAUUUCAAAUACUUAUAACCUGUGGCUCUGAUACCAACUGUGACGGUCCGAGAAUCCGGGGGCCUGGAUUCUGACGUCACCACAUAAAAACCUUUUUAAAACACUUUCGAAAACCUGAAAAUUUUUUUUUUUUUUUUUUUAUUUUUAGAUAAUAAAAUCAGAGAAUUUAAAACCUGAAAACAUUUAAUAAAAGAUUUGAAUGAGAACAUAAAUCGAAUGAUUUCAAAACCUGAAUUUCAAACUUGAAAGCCAUAAUAGGAGAAUUUCAAGAGAACAUUUAAACUUUAAUAAAUGAUUCGAAAGAGAACAUUUAAACCCCCUAAAAGCAACAGGAUCGCAUCCAGGUUACAGUAUUGAAAUUAGAAUCUACCACUAUUAUUACACAACAUCUCUUACCAAAUCAGAUCAUCUUCGAUAAGAAGAAUCACUGUCAACUAUUCCAGCUUGCACCAACCUCAUCAACUUUCCUGAACACUCCUCGACCACUGGAUCCUCAACUCUGUCUCCUCGCCUAGCAUUAGCCUUAUUCACAAUCUCAAUCAAUCAUCUCAUCUUUAAGCCUUUCUGAAAUGGUUAGAAAGGAAUAGCAAGGGUGAGCAACAAUGCUCAGCAAGUAAUAAUAAACAAUGAUAGUUCUGAAAUGAUAUAACAGAAGUUCACGAGUUCAAGAUAUAAGAGGAUUCAACCUGAGUUCAUGAGUUCAUGGUAUUGUAUAGAAUGAUUUACAAUACCUUGCAGCAUUUAAACUGAGAAAUUCAAUCUUUCCAAAGAAUUAUUGAAUUGGACUAUCACAUUUUAAUUAAAACCAAGGUUAGGCAGCUGAUCAGUUCCGCACUAACCCCGAGCAGGCCCCGCCAUGCUCUAUCACUGGAUCCAAGGCACUCAUUGGCCUAACAUGACCACGAAUCUGGUCCACAGGUUUAUAUAAAAACAAUAAUCCAAUUCUAUAAUUCAAUAACAGGUCAACGUAUAACAACAGAACAUAAACACAAUCAAUAUCAAUGAUAGAAUAAUUCCAAAUCAAACUUUGAUAAUCAACUUUUCAUAAACCAGAGUCCAUCCUUCCAUAAAUCAUAGUUCAGGAAAUCCUUAACUAUUCAGUAUCCUCCAUUAUCGGCUAAGCAACUGAAUUUAGCCUGCUAAACCAGCAUGACAAUGGCGGGUUGAAUAAUCAAGAAGAUCCCAAGUCAUUCUAGGUUCUAAUCAUCACUGAGCAACACAUGCUUCAAUGACAAUCUGAACUUCGAAUUAAUUUGUAAAACUGGAAUUAUCUGAAUUUUUGAGGAUUAGAAAAGGAUGGAUAAAAAUAUUUGCACUUGCCAAAUAUGAAAAAGAGAGGAACGAAUAUUUGCAACACAUACGAAAAGAAUGAAUCAGAAUAAUCGCAAGAUAUCCAAAAGAAGGGUAUAG
This 7134-nucleotide long non-coding RNA is filed under the name Daucus carota (carrot). Its description in RNAcentral is "long non-coding RNA (DCAR_LNC005380)". The record is from RNAcentral. Lineage: Eukaryota; Viridiplantae; Streptophyta; Magnoliopsida; Apiales; Apiaceae.